RNAcentral lists this long non-coding RNA (1030 nucleotides) under Salmo salar (Atlantic salmon). Its description in RNAcentral is "lncRNA (ENSSSAG00000084209.1)". The record is from RNAcentral. Lineage: Eukaryota; Metazoa; Chordata; Actinopteri; Salmoniformes; Salmonidae.
CUCAAUACAGUGAGUACAGGCCAAUGCCAAUACAGUGAGUACAGGCCAAUGCCAAUACAGUGAGUACAGGCCAAUGCCAAUACAGUGAAGACAGGCCAUCCAAUACAGUGAAUACAGGCCAAUUCCAAUACAGUGAGUACAGGCCAAUGCCAAUACAGUGAAGACAGGCCAAUGCAAAUACAGUGAAGACAGACGGUACAGAAAAAAGUAUUACAUAAGGGUUCUUCGGGUGUCCGCAUAGGAGAACUCUUUAAGGUUCCAGGUAGAACCCUUUUUGGUUUCAGGUAGAACUCUUUGGGGUUCCAUGUAGAACCCUCUGUGGAAAGGGUUCUACCUGGAACCAAAAAGGGUUCUUCAAAGGGUUCUCCAAUGGGGACAGCCGGAGAAGCCUUUUAGGUUCUAGAUAGCACUUUUUUUCUAAGAGUGUACUGACCAAUGCCAACACAGCGAAGACAGACCAUUACCAAUACAUCUUGAACAAUGCCUAUGUGAUUUAUAGUUCUUAUAUUUGUACCUUUAGCUGAGCCUCCAGAUAUAGACUUCUUGUGGAGUGACUGAGUGGAAGAAAAAAAGGGGGAUAUAGAGAGGAGUGACUAUGGGGGGGUAGGAAAGGGGGAUAUAGAGAGGAGUGACUAGUGGGAGGGAAGAAAGGGGGAUAUAGAGAGGAGUGACUAGUGGGAGGGAAGAAAGGGGGAUAUAGAGAGGAGUGACUAGUGGGAGGGAAGAAAGGGGGAUAUAGAGAGGAGUGACUAGUGGGGGGUAGGAAAGGGGGAUAUAGAGAGGAGUGACUAGUGGAAGAAAAGAAAGGGGGAUAUAGAGAGGAGUGACUAGUGGGAGGGAAGAAAGGGGGAUAUAGAGAGGAGUGACUAGUGGAAGAAAAGAAAGGGGGAUAUAGAGAGGAGUGACUAGUGGGGGGGAAGAAAGGGGGAUAUAGAGAGGAGUGACUAGUGGGAGGGAAGAAAGGGGGAUAUAGAGAGGAGUGACUAGUGGGGGGUAGGAAAGGGGGAUAUAGAGAGGAGUGACUAGUGGG